GGGACAACAGCCAGAAAUGGCUGCUAAUACCGCAUAAGCCUGCUGGCCGCAUGGCACAGCAGGGAAAACCACGGUGGUACAGGAUGGGCCCGCGUCUGAUUAGUUAGUUGGCAGGGUAACGGCCUACCAAGACAACGAUCAGUAGCCGGCUUGAGAGAGUGGACGGCCACAUUGGGACUGAGACACGGCCCAGACUCCUGCGGGAGGCAGCAGUGGGGAAUAUUGCACAAUGGGGGGAACCCUGAUGCAGCAAUGCCGCGUGGGUGAAGAAGCACUCCGGUGCGUAAAGCCCUGUCAGCAGGGAAGAAAAUGACAGUACCUGGACAAGAAGCCCCGGCUAACUACGUGCCAGCAGCCGCGGUAAUACGUAGGGGGCAAGCGUUAUCCGGAUUUACUGGGUGUAAAGGGAGCGCAGGCGGCGUGGCAAGUCAGAUGUGAAAACCCGGGGCCCAACCCCGGGAGUGCAUUUGAAACUGCCAUGCUGGAGUGCCGGAGAGGUAAGCGGAAUUCCUAGUGUAGCGGUGAAAUGCGUAGAUAUUAGGAGGAACACCAGUGGCGGAGGCGGCUUACUGGACGGUAACUGACGCUGAGGCUCGAAAGCGUGGGGAGCAAACAGGAUUAGAUACCCUGGUAGUCCACGCCGUAAAC
RNAcentral lists this ribosomal RNA (648 nucleotides) under uncultured bacterium. RNAcentral describes it as "bacterial SSU rRNA". It matches the Rfam family "Bacterial small subunit ribosomal RNA", at positions 140 to 807 of the family's 1533-position model. The record is from RNAcentral.